UCUCUCUCUCUCUCUCCGCAAUUAGACUUGGAAUCUGUUCAUUUUUUCUUGCAUUUUGUUCAUUAGGAGAUGCUUCAUUUCUCAUUUAAUUCAACAUGAUGAUCGUCUAUUAGUAGGCGGUAGCGGGGCUGGGCGCAAGAUCGAGGUGGACUAAGGGUUCUUUGCAAGAUCUGGAGAGUCUCGAUGAAGCGAUAAAGCAAGUAGAAAUCGUGAUCUGCGCCAUUCCUUCCAAAAAUGUCCUCGAUCAGAAGCUUCCCAUUCAAGCUAUCAAAGAAGCUGGAUGCAUCAAGAGGUUCAUUCCAUCAGAAUUUGGAGCAGAUCCUGAUAAAGCCCGAAUUCCCGACCUUGACUAUGGCUUCUAUGCAAAGAAAUCAGAGAUCCGACGUGUUAUAGGAAAGGAAGGCAUUCCAUACACCUACAUCUCCUGCAACUUCUUCACAAGAUAUUUACUUCCAUCACUUGCGCAACCAGGUCUUAAUACGCCUCCAAGAGACAGAGUCAAGAUCUUUGGAGAUGGAAACACAAAAGGUUUCUUGAUUUACUCAUGAUUCUAGGACUUUGAUUUACAUAGAUGAAGUGGAUGGUGAUAACUGUACUUCUCAAGUUCGUUCUUUAGCAUUCUGUUUGCGAAAUGCUAUUGCCACUCUGAGUGUAACCAUCAGUCUCAAUGCAAGUGCCAAUCUGGUGUGUGUGAAAUCCAGGCAAUUCAUCUGGUGGGCACAACUGUGGCCCAAAAUACCAAGCCAGCCUGGUGGUCAGGUGCCACACUUGUAUGAAAGAAAUGAAAAGUUCAAAAAUUGGCAUGUUGUCCACAUUCAAUGUACACAUGCUACGCACCUGAUGACAUACCGCCAGCCUGAUUCUUGGGCCUUGGCACAACUAAAUGUGGUCCAAUGGAUGAACAGGUAGAAUCAUGUGCAGACAUGCUACUCUGGGGAGAGUAGGAUUUGGAUGGAUACCUCGCACGAGUAGCCACGGCAUUGCUUUAUCUGUUUUUGCUGCUUCAUUUCUUAUACUUAGAACUCUGAGAAUUCAUUCUUUCCACUAUUGUGGUUUGGGGGUUGCUUUCUACAGCUGUUUUUGUGGAGGAAUCUGAUAUGUACUGUUAUUUUAUUUAUUUAUUUGAUAGGCAUCCUGGAUUUGGGUAUUUAUGCAAUCAUAUUCCAUUAAAAAAAAAAAUCAUAUGCAAUCACGUAUAACAAAAUAUAGAGUACACCUUAAUUAAUUCUAUUACACAUUUACACUAUAUGAUAUGAUAUCCAUAUAUAUGAAGUACAUCACCCAUAUAUAUCCAUAUAUUUUAUAACCAUACACUGACCAACAUUCAAACUUUCUGAUAGCUACAAUCCAUCAAAUUGUUAAAUAGCAGGAUGCUACAAAGUUAGUUUUUCUUUUUCUUUUUCUUUUUUAGAGAUGCUUAUUUUGUUUAUCCGAAUAUUACCCUCUUGUUUUGGAGGACAACCCUC
Magnolia sinica is the source of this 1466-nucleotide RNA transcript. It is a transcript of the gene named probable pinoresinol-lariciresinol reductase 3, with no coding region annotated. Lineage: Eukaryota; Viridiplantae; Streptophyta; Magnoliopsida; Magnoliales; Magnoliaceae. The transcript is spliced from 3 exons. The record is from RefSeq and is a predicted model, not a curated record.